RNAcentral lists this long non-coding RNA (364 nucleotides) under Ananas comosus (pineapple). Its description in RNAcentral is "long non-coding RNA (ACOM_LNC018408)". The record is from RNAcentral. Lineage: Eukaryota; Viridiplantae; Streptophyta; Magnoliopsida; Poales; Bromeliaceae.
GUAGAGAAUGACAUUUUUAUAUUUAAAAGGGGUCAAGACUUUUUGAUAGCAGGAAAUCAAUUAUGUUAGAAUUCUGUCGUGACUCGAAUUCAGAACCUUCUAUUUUGAUAUCAUAUUAAAUUAUAGAAAAAAUUUGUUUUUCUCUAAAAGUUAAUCUCCUAAAGUUUUUGGUGAACCACGGUUGUUUCAUAUAAUUUAACAUUUAUCCCUAAGAUAAGGUAUGUUAGUUUCAUUAGAGGUGAAAUUUAGGUUGAAAUAAAUUUUUGGGCGAAAAAGAGUUUAUGGUGAAAAUUAUUCAUCUUCUGAAACUUUUUCGGUUCAUUUAUUUAUUUGGCAAGGAAUGAAUAACGGUAAAGCUAAAUAU